CCUACGGGUGGCAGCAGUGGGGAAUAUUGGGCAAUGGACGCAACUCUGACCCAGCAACGCCGCGUGAAGGAAGAAGGCUUUCGGAUUGUAAACUUCUUUUGAUAGGGAAGAUCAGGAGGCGGUACCACUUGAAUACACCACGGCUAACUACGUGCCAGCAGCCGCGGUAAUACGUAGGUGGCAAGCGUUUUCCGGAUUUACUGGGUGUAAAGGGCGUGGAGCCGGAAAGACAAGUCAGAUGUGAAAUCCGCGGGCUCAACCAGCGAACUGCAUUUGAAACUGUUUCCCUUGAGUAUCGGAGAGGUAAGCGGAAUUCUUGGUGUAGCGGUGAAAUGCGUAGAGAUUAGGAAGAACACUAGUUGCGAAGGCGGAUGACUGGACGACAACUGACGGUGAGGCGCGAAAGCGUGGGGAGCAAACAGGAUUAGAUACCCUGGUAGUC
RNAcentral lists this ribosomal RNA (442 nucleotides) under uncultured bacterium. RNAcentral's name for it is "partial 16S ribosomal RNA". It matches the Rfam family "Bacterial small subunit ribosomal RNA", at positions 338 to 795 of the family's 1533-position model. The record is from RNAcentral.